GCCUGGGUGGCUCAGUGGUUGAGCGCCUGCCUUCAGCGCAGGGCGUGAUCAUGGAGUCCUGGGAUCAAGUCCCACAUCAGGCU
Molecule: non-coding RNA, 83 nt
Organism: Canis lupus familiaris (dog)
Lineage: Eukaryota; Metazoa; Chordata; Mammalia; Carnivora; Canidae
Source: Rfam